GCCCAGCUAGCUCAGUUGGUAGAGCAUGAGACUUUUAAUCUCAGGGUCGUGGGUUCAAGUCCCACGUUGGGCA
Molecule: transfer RNA, 73 nt
Filed under: Phoenicopterus ruber ruber
Lineage: Eukaryota; Metazoa; Chordata; Aves; Phoenicopteriformes; Phoenicopteridae
Rfam family: tRNA
About the family: Transfer RNA (tRNA) molecules are approximately 80 nucleotides in length. Their secondary structure includes four short double-helical elements and three loops (D, anti-codon, and T loops).
Source: Rfam by way of RNAcentral